Molecule: long non-coding RNA, 2269 nt
Organism: Felis catus (domestic cat)
Lineage: Eukaryota; Metazoa; Chordata; Mammalia; Carnivora; Felidae
Exons: 4
Source: RefSeq, a predicted model, not a curated record
ACAAAUAGCUUUUUAAAAGAAUUCUGAUAAACUGGUUCUUUAUAAACUGAUUCUGAGAUCUCUUUUCCAAGUAGGCAGAAUAAUAUCAAUGCAAGAAUUAUUGCAAUUUGCUGUCACCCUUUUUAUAUGUAUAUGGAUACUGGCAAGGUGUGAAUAGAUAAAAACAAAAGCAUGAGACAUUUGUUUUGAAUCUCUAUAUUAUUUAUUCUUUUGGAUACAAAUGUUGUUUUUGGAGUUCUUUAUUCACUCCAGAGAUUACUAUGCACCAGGCUUUGCGUUAGUCUGACUUUACUAAGAAAGGGGGCAGAAAAAAAGGGAUCUUUAAUAGCAUUGAUUAAAUAAGGCUUUUUCAUGGAGGUCACAAGAUAAAUCUUCCUGAAAAGCAGUAGUAAUCUAAGCAAAGAAAGCAUGGUCAUCAUUUUCAAUAGCACUAUGUUGGGAUGUCACAUUGGCAAGCCACAAUGAACCACACCAUCCUUUAUUCACUCCCUUCUGUAGUCCUUCCCACGUUGAUCUGACCUUAGCUACAUGGCUUCUAACUGUGACCAGUGAGGUCUUAGCAAAGUAAUAUAACCAAAAAUUUAUAUUCACUGCUUUGGAAGUUUCCGUCCCCAUCCAAAUUCGUGUGUAAUCCUUAAGCUUUCUCUCUCUGCAUGCAAACACCAAGGAAAGGCCAUCUGAGGGUGGAGAAAGAAUACAGCCAUCUGCAAGCCAGGAAGAGAGAGCUCUCAGCAGCAAAUGGAUUGGCUGGAACCUUGAUCUUGGACUUCAAGCCUCCAGAACUGACUAUUGAAAAAUGCACUUUAGAAGUUCUGAAAGCAAAACUAAAUUAUUCUUGGCAUGUAAUGGCUCAAUUGUAAGACAUAUAUCAUUACCAAAAACACUGAAAUAAAAAGACCAAGGUGUUCCCAACACAGAAGCUACCAGCACUGGUCCACCUGCUGUCCCAGCCAUGCUGUCCCAAAUGCAAAUAUUUCCUGAGUUCCAAUUCUGUGAGACACUGUUCUGGCCACCGGACUACAGGAAGGAACAAAAAUCAAUCUUCUCUUAUGGGACGUAAGUUUACUGAGAAAGAUAGAUAACAGAUUAAUUCUCCAACUCUCAUUGCAUCAUAACUGACUCAACAUAUGUGCAUUUUCAGACUCACAGCCAAUGCCGAGCUAACUGUAAUUAGAGAUCUGACAUUAUGUAGGGUUGACUCAUCUUAUGGUUGCCUGAAACCCUGUGUGGACAGUUAGGUGUUGGGUAUGUUAUUCUAUAACUCUUUAUGUAAAACUUGAGCUACUGAGCUACUUAAGCAACCAGUUUCUAUAUUUGUUUUCUGUAAUAAACUGUGAAAUGAGCUGGUUCAUUGUUCAUUUUUCACAUAUUCAAACAUAAAAUGAGAAUGCAUUCUUAUGACAGCAUUUGUUCAUUUUUCUAUAUGGGAGAAUGAACUGUUUCAUUACUUAUCAUUAGCAGCCUAUUUAUAUAAUAGGGUGGUGAAAAAAUAAUGUCAAAACCAAUUGGACUUGUAGGACAGUUUUGGAUUUAUAGAGUGCAAUUAAUCAAAUAUGUGAUGACACUAUGGUAAUAAUCCUGCUCUGGAAAAGUACUGAAGAAUCUGUAAAGGGUCAGAGGUGCGGUUUUGUAUUUUCUUCUAAAGAAGAUUGUCUAUUCAGCAAAAUGAAAUUGAAUUUCUAAUUACUCAGUUGGAAUAAAAAUUAACUCCUAAAACAAACUACUGUUAAACAACUUGUAAUCUUAUCCACAAUGCAUGCUAAAAAGUUCUUUGAAGCAUUUGUGAUUACUGCUUAGUAAUCAAAUAUAUCUUCUGCAUUCCAAUUUGACUUAAUUCAUGAUGUUUAAUAAACCAUCAAAAUUUUAUAAAAGGACUUCAUUUCACCAUACAUUUCUGUAUUUUUACUAAGUCUGUAAUAGUUUAUGUGUACUUUUACAGGUGGUAAUUAUAAAUUAUUGGGAAGCUGGGUCUUUGGCUUUUCACAUCAAAUCUUAUGAAAUGGCAAGUCUGAAGAUAUAAUGGGAGCAUUAAUUAAAUGUAAUUCCUGAGUAUUUCCCCUUCGGGUUGAUAUUUUCUCAGUGAUAGAGACAUCAAAGCAAAUUAGAUUUCUUCAUUUCCCAGUACAACAUAUGAUCUCCUUAACAUAUCAUCAUCUUCAAAGCCAUCGUGCUUGUUAAACAUGGUGCAUUCACUAUUUACAAAGUUUUAUUAAGGCUCUCACUUUUGCUUCUCCUAAAAAACUCUACUGGAGGGUGCCUGGUUGGCUCA